This 27-nucleotide non-coding RNA is filed under the name Bombyx mori (domestic silkworm). Lineage: Eukaryota; Metazoa; Arthropoda; Insecta; Lepidoptera; Bombycidae. The record is from RNAcentral.
CAGAUCUAGUUUCCGUCGCAAGCCCGA